Molecule: long non-coding RNA, 1762 nt
Organism: Megalobrama amblycephala (Wuchang bream)
Lineage: Eukaryota; Metazoa; Chordata; Actinopteri; Cypriniformes; Xenocyprididae
Exons: 6
Source: RefSeq, a predicted model, not a curated record
GUUUAACCUUUCUGUUCAGGGUCUCUGAGACCCCAGCAAUAAAACAUGAUUAAAUGCAUUUUCCUUUAUGCAUCAGCUGAAGCGCCAAUGUUUUCAAACCAGCUGUCUCGACUUUCCGAUACUGUAUGACGUUCGAAGCUUCAAACGUCAUCAAUCACGUGGUAUUGUCAUUUCGAUACGAGCAUCAGAAUAGAAGGAACAGACUUUUGGUUCAAAACUAAAGUUUUACCAGAUCCCAGCAGACAUUCCUUCACAGAAAUCAAGAAGACAAUUUUGGUUGAAUGCAAUACGGCGACUGGACGGAGACGAUCAUAAAUAAUACUCGCGUUUGCAGUGCACACUUCAUAUCAGGGUUGCAGGGAUGCUGAAGUCCAGUGAAGUCCAGUGUCACAGGUUUUUGGAUUGUAGAAGAAACUGGUGCACCCGGAGGAAACCCACGCAGACACGGGGAGAACGUGCAAGCUCCACACAGAAAACGCCUUCGUUGCUCAGCCGGGACUUGAACCGGGAAGACCUUCCUGCUGAGACAACAGUUCUACCCACUGAGCCACCAUUGACCUGCAUUCUAUUUCCAUGGGAACAGUUUGCCCACAUUGGAUCAGCAUCCCCAGAAAUGGGCAGUUGUGUUUUAGGAGAGCUCUGCCCUGAAGCAGAUGAAGCACCAGCGUACACAUUAAUAUUUCCAAAUCAAUGCUCCUGACAAGUUUGACUGCACAGAUGGCAAAAAGUGGCCAAGAUGAAUAAGACACUUCAAAAGGUGCCAUGUAACGUCAAGAGUGAACAAGAGAGUUGAGGAAUUCCAGAUGCACAGUCCUGCUUAGAUGCACAGUCCUGCUUCUGGCAGAUUCUUCUGGCACACCAUUUGGCUCUGCUCUUACCCUUUGGCAUCAGCUCUAGUCCAGAGCUCUUCCAGAGAUGCAUGUCUCAACUCUUAGAUGGACUAACAGGGGUGACUUGCCAUGCGGAUGAUUUGUUAGUUUGUGUGAAAAGAUAAAUCCCAACAUGAUGAACGGCUUACACUGGUCCUGUCAUGACUUUGAAAAACAAAUCUAACUCUAAAUGAGACGUGUUCAGUUGCUCUGUCUGAAGAUCUGUUUGUAGGCCACAAAUGUUUCGGAUAUAAGAAGAUUUCUAGGCAUGACCUCGUGAAUGAAGUUGUAUUUAAAUCCCAUUACUCAGGACCAAUGAUAUCAUCCAUAUUAUCUGUUAGAGGUUUAACGGUUCUCGGUAAAAAAAUCAAACCAUACCGUCCUCCACAAAUGGUUCGGUACACACUUGUACCGCGGUUCAUCUCAAAUCUGACGAUGCAUACGCAUCUAUAAUAAGGUUUGUUGAAAAUAAAUAAAACAGACACAGAGUUACCUAAUGUAUUUUUCUGUUGAUGGAUACACAUUCUGGCUUCCCUUCAGCUUUGUUCAAUGCGAGUGCCGUAUGCUCUAUACAGUAUGACCAGGCAUUUACGCCGUCGUCACCCAGGUGUUGAUAGCACGCAAGCGCAGGUGAGAACUGAACAGCACACAUUGCUAUCUGUGUUUAAACUAAACUCAUUUAAACCAAUUUAAAGAUUCUAGCGCAAGACACGAAAGAGAGCUCAUGCUCUGUAAGAAGAUUUGUGCAAUCAAGUCUUGUGCUUAAACGGACACAUUCAUGCAAAAAUUAUCAACAUGCCCAUCUUGGCGAGUAUCCUAGUAAACAUAGUAGGUUAUGAACUUAUAAGUGAACUUAUACACUCGAGAAAGAAUGCAUGUGUUCAGUAUCAGUG